RNAcentral lists this ribosomal RNA (492 nucleotides) under uncultured bacterium. RNAcentral describes it as "partial 16S ribosomal RNA". It matches the Rfam family "Bacterial small subunit ribosomal RNA", at positions 29 to 507 of the family's 1533-position model. The record is from RNAcentral.
AGUGAACGCUGGCGGUAUGCCUAACACAUGCAAGUCGAACGGCAGCACAGUAAGAGCUUGCUCUUACGGGUGGCGAGUGGCGGACGGGUGAGGAAUACAUCGGAAUCUACUUUUUCGUGGGGGAUAACGUAGGGAAACUUACGCUAAUACCGCAUACGACCUACGGGUGAAAGCAGGGGAUCUUCGGACCUUGUGCGAUGGAAUGAGCCGAUGUCGGAUUAGCUAGUUGGUGGGGUAAAGGCCCACCAAGGCGACGAUCCGUAGCUGGUCUGAGAGGAUGAUCAGCCACACUGGAACUGAGACACGGUCCAGACUCCUACGGGAGGCAGCAGUGGGGAAUAUUGGACAAUGGGCGAAAGCCUGAUCCAGCCAUACCGCGUGGGUGAAGAAGGCCUUCGGGUUGUAAAGCCCUUUUGUUGGGAAAGAAAAGAAGCAGGUUAAUACCGCGCUGUUCUGACGGUACCCAAAGAAUAAGCACCGGCUAACUUCGUG